Molecule: unclassified non-coding RNA, 180 nt
Organism: Chelonoidis abingdonii (Abingdon island giant tortoise)
Lineage: Eukaryota; Metazoa; Chordata; Testudines; Testudinidae
Source: Ensembl
UUAAUAGUACUGGAGCCUGAAAUCCUCUGUUUAUCUACAGAAUGGGUACAGCAUAGGCCACAGCAGUGCAAACUUCCUCACAUCGCCUUGACAACGUGCCUCAACCCUUCCCUGGGAGAGACUGCCUCUGAAGGUGAAAGGGAAGGUCCAUUUCUAUGGCUUACUUCAGCCUCGGCCUCU